Long non-coding RNA from Oncorhynchus keta (chum salmon), 954 nucleotides. RefSeq lists it as uncharacterized. Lineage: Eukaryota; Metazoa; Chordata; Actinopteri; Salmoniformes; Salmonidae. The record is from RefSeq and is a predicted model, not a curated record. The transcript has 3 exons.
UUUAGGCCCUGAACAGGACCCAGGUGGUGGAUGUUAAUUUUAGGCCCUGAACAGAACCCAGGUGGUGGAUGUUAAUUUUAGGCCCUGAACAGAACCCAGGUGGUGGAUGUUAAUUUUAGGCCCUGAACAGAACCCAGGUGGUGGAUGUUAAUUUUAGGCCCUGAACAGAACCCAGGUGGUGGAUGUUAAUUUUAGGCCCUGAACAGAACCCAGGUGGUGGAUGUUAAUUUUAGGCCCUGAACAGAACCCAGGUGGUGGAUGUUAAUUUUAGGCCCUGAACAGAACCCAGGUGGUGGAUGUUAAUUUUAGGCCCUGAACAGAACCCAGGUGGUGGAUGUUAAUUUUAGGCCCUGAACAGAACCCAGGUGGUGGAUGUUAAUUUUAGGCCCUGAACAGAACCCAGGUGGUGGAUGUUAAUUUUAGGCCCUGAACAGAACCCAGGUGGUGGAUGUUAAUUUUAGGCCCUGAACAGAACCCAGGUGGUGGAUGUUAAUUUUAGGCCCUGAACAGAACCCAGGUGGUGGAUGUUAAUUUUAGGCCCUGAACAGAACCCAGGUGGUGGAUGUUAAUUUUAGGCCCUGAACAGAACCCAGGUGGUGGAUGUUAAUUUUAGGCCCUGAACAGAACCCAGGUGGUGGAUGUUAAUUUUAGUCCCUGAACAGGACCCAGGUGAUGGAUGUUAAUUUUAGGCCCUAUCUUUUAGGCCCAGCUAUCUAAACUUGUAGUAAUCAUGGUUGAAUUACCUAUCGUGGGGGCCCAAAUUAAUUUUGUUAGUCACUCAGACAUCAUCUUAACAUUUCGCUUAGGGCCCCCAAAAGGCAAUGGCCUGCAUGUGUGGGUCUGGAUGUGGGUAUGUUACGACCCUGAACAAGGGGAGAAAGAAUCACGAGAGUGAUACGGUCUUGUUUCCUCAAUAAUAACUUUUAGUGCAAUCAUUUUACAAAAGUAACACAU